Molecule: ribosomal RNA, 489 nt
Filed under: uncultured bacterium
Lineage: Bacteria
Description: bacterial SSU rRNA
Rfam family: Bacterial small subunit ribosomal RNA
Source: RNAcentral
CUGGCUCAGGAUAAACGCUGGCGGCGCACAUAAGACAUGCAAGUCGAACGGACUUAAUCCAUCUUUAGAUUGGAAGCGGUAGUGGCGGACUGGUGAGUAACGCGUAAGUAACCUGCCUAUCAGAGGGGAAUAACAGUGAGAAAUCAUUGCUAAUACCGCAUAUGCUCACGGUACUGCAUGGUACAGUGAGGAAAGGAGUAAUCCGCUGAUAGAUGGACUUGCGUCUGAUUAGCUAGUUGGUAAGGUAAAGGCCUACCAAGGCAACGAUCAGUAGCCGGACUGAGAGGUUGAACGGCCACAUUGGGACUGAGAUACGGCCCAGACUCCUACGGGAGGCAGCAGUCGGGAAUAUUGCGCAAUGGAGGAAACUCUGACGCAGUGACGCCGCGUAUAGGAAGAAGGUUUUCGGAUUGUAAACUAUUGUCGUUAGGGAAGAGCAAAGACAGUACCUAAGGAGGAAGCCCCGGCUAACUAUGUGCCAGCCGCUGC